This 588-nucleotide ribosomal RNA is filed under the name uncultured Actinomycetes bacterium. RNAcentral describes it as "bacterial SSU rRNA". It matches the Rfam family "Bacterial small subunit ribosomal RNA", at positions 338 to 916 of the family's 1533-position model. The record is from RNAcentral. Lineage: Bacteria; Bacillati; Actinomycetota; Actinomycetes.
CCUACGGGAGGCAGCAGUGGGGAAUAUUGGACAAUGGGCGCAAGCCUGAUCCAGCAAUGCCGCGUGUGUGAAGAAGGCCUUCGGGUUGUAAAGCACUUUUAUCAGGAGCGAAAUACUACCGGCUAAUAUCCGGUGGGGCUGACGGUACCUGAGGAAUAAGCACCGGCUAACUUCGUGCCAGCAGCCGCGGUGAUACAUAGGCUUCAAGCGUUGUCCGGAUUUAUUGGGCGUAAAGAGUUCGUAGGCGGUCGAGUAAGUCGGGUGUGAAAAUUCUGGGCUCAACCCAGAGACGCCACCCGAUACUGCUUAACUUGAGUUCGAUAGGGGAGUGGGGAAUUCCUAGUGUAGCGGUGAAAUGCGCAGAUAUUAGGAGGAACACCGGUGGCGAAGGCGCCACUCUGGAUCGACACUGACGCUGAGGAACGAAAGCAUGGGUAGCAAACAGGAUUAGAUACCCUGGUAGUCCAUGCGGUAAACGGUGGGCACUAGGUGUGGGUUUCCAUUAACGAAAUCCGCGCCGUCGCUAACGCAUUAAGUGCCCCGCCUGGGGAGUACGGUCGCAAGACUAAAACUCAAAGGAAUUGACGG